Molecule: ribosomal RNA, 435 nt
Filed under: uncultured bacterium
Lineage: Bacteria
Description: partial 16S ribosomal RNA
Rfam family: Bacterial small subunit ribosomal RNA
Source: RNAcentral
UAGGGAAUCUUCCACAAUGGACGCAAGUCUGAUGGAGCAACGCCGCGUGAGUGAAGAAGGUUUUCGGACCGUAAAGCUCUGUUGUUGGUGAAGAAGGAUAGAGGUAGUAACUGGCCUUUAUUUGACGGUAAUCAACCAGAAAGUCACGGCUAACUACGUGCCAGCAGCCGCGGUAAUACGUAGGUGGCAAGCGUUGUCCGGAUUUAUUGGGCGUAAAGCGAGCGCAGGCGGAAGAAUAAGUCUGUGUGAAAGCCCUCGGCUUAACCGAGGAAUUGCAUCGGAAACUGUUUUUCUUGAGUGCAGAAGAGGAGAGUAGAACUCCAUGUGUAGCGGUGGAAUGCGUAGAUAUAUGGAAGAAUACCAGUGGCGAAGGCGGCUCUCUGGUCUGCAACUGACGCUGAGGCUCGAAAGCAUGGGUAGCGAACAGGAUUAGAU